UAGGGAAUCUUCCACAAUGGACGCAAGUCUGAUGGAGCAACGCCGCGUGAGUGAAGAAGGUUUUCGGAUCGUAAAGCUCUGUUGUUGGGGAAGAAGGAUAGAGGCAGUAACUGGUCUUUAUUUGACGGUAAUCAACCAGAAAGUCACGGCUAACUACGUGCCAGCAGCCGCCGUAAUACGUAGGUGGCAAGCGUUGUCCGGAUUUAUUGGGCGUAAAGCGAGCGCAGGCGGAAUGAUAAGUCUGAUGUGAAAGCCCACGGCUCAACCGUGGGACUGCAUCGGAAACUGUCAUUCUUGAGUGCAGAAGAGGAGAGUGGAAUUCCAUGUGUAGCGGUGUAAUGCGUAGAUAUAUGGAAGAACACCAGUGGCGAAGGCGGCUCUCUGGUCUGCAACUGACGCUGAGGCUCGAAAGCAUGGGUAGCGAACAGG
Molecule: ribosomal RNA, 429 nt
Filed under: bacterium
Lineage: Bacteria
Description: partial 16S ribosomal RNA
Rfam family: Bacterial small subunit ribosomal RNA
Source: RNAcentral